This is a long non-coding RNA of Limulus polyphemus (Atlantic horseshoe crab), 1433 nucleotides long. RefSeq lists it as uncharacterized. The transcript is spliced from 2 exons. NCBI's taxonomy places the organism in Eukaryota, Metazoa, Arthropoda, Merostomata, Xiphosura, Limulidae. The record is from RefSeq and is a predicted model, not a curated record.
ACGUGUGUUGUAUAUAUUACAACAGUUACGUGUGUUGUAUAUAUUACGACAGUUACGUGUGUUGUAUAUAUUACGACAGUUACGUGUGUUGUAUAUAUUACAACAGUUACGUGUGUUGUAUAUAUUACAGGUUAAGGAGGGAGACUAUAUCAUCUAGUGUUUUAAUAAUUCAGCAUGUUUGAAAAUAUUGAGGAGAUUACAUAAAAACAUUAGGUGUAACUAUCAUAUCUACACAUUUAUCAUUUUUUACCUGCCUACCUACUGCAGGUAAUUCUUCCUUUGUGUUUCUUUGUUGUUGUUUUCGAACUAAAACUUCAGAUAUUAUAAGUUCUAAACUGAACCCGAAACUAGGUUUUCUUCUACUCUUCAAGAGUUACUAAAUCGUUAGGCGACGCGAUUCAAGUGGAUUCUUUACACGUUAUCACGAUAACGACCAGAAAAGUAACCAAUAAAAAUAAACCGACAAAACAGCGGGUAAGUUAUGCUCUAAUGGAAAGACUCCGUUCUAGAACAGUCUGAGCUCAUGGGCGUGAUCCUGUAGGAUAUAUAUAUGUGUGUGUGUGUAUGUAUGAGUGUGUACACACAAACCUUUAAGUAAUAAUCUACCUCUCGAUCAAACGAGACUGACUCCAUAGAAACCUAAGCUGUUACACUAUAUUGUGGUUUAAGAUUCAACUGUCGUUAUCUUUACAAGUUGUCAUUAAAUAUGUUCCUUACGUCGGUGACAGUAAACGCGCCAUGGACGAGUACACGUCAGAGAUCAUGAUGGGAGGUCAUAACACUAUUGUUGUCCAUAACACUUGUGAAGACUCCUUGCUGGCUAGUCCGAUUAUUCUUGACCUGGUCAUUCUGACAGAGCUGUGUCAGAGGAUUACCUUCCGUGUAGGUGACUCUCUAAAGUUCCAGUCUUUCAACAGCGUCCUGUCCAUUCUAAGUUACCUGUGUAAGGCCCCCUUGGUGCCACGUGACGCCCCCGUGGUGAACUCCCUGUUCAGACAGCGGUCAUGUAUUGAAAAUAUCUUACGAGCUUGUUUAGGCUUAGCUCCACAAAAUCACAUGGGCUUAGAAAACAAACUAAGUAACCCGGUCGAUUGGGAAGAACAGCAAGAUAUAAACGUUACAAAGAAGUCACACGUGAACGGUGUGACCAACAUUCGCGAGUUUUAUGUUAAAAAUAUUGUUAACGGAUCGUAGCCGUGGAAAAAGUUUUUAUCUUAAAGACUAGAAAAAAUAAUUUAACACUAUAUUAGUGCAUUGUUGUAAUUAAGCAUUAUUAAUGUUUGUUCAAUAUGUGUCAAAUAUCGUAUUGUUAUAAUUAACUAUGAUUAGGGGUUCAAAACGUUUCAAAUAUUUUAAAUAGUUAGCCAUUAUUAAAGUUGUUCAACAUGCUUGACAGACUUUAUUGUCAUAAUUAAUAAUUGUUAUGUAUUAUU